UGGGGAAUAUUGGACAAUGGGCGCAAGCCUGAUCCAGCCAUGCCGCGUGGGUGAUGAAGGCCCUAGGGUUGUAAAGCCCUUUCGGCGGGGAAGAUAAUGACGGUACCCGCAGAAGAAGCCCCGGCUAACUUCGUGCCAGCAGCCGCGGUAAUACGAAGGGGGCUAGCGUUGCUCGGAAUCACUGGGCGUAAAGCGCACGUAGGCGGGCAUCUAAGUCGGUGGUGAAAUCCUGGAGCUCAACUCCAGAACUGCCUCCGAUACUGGAUGUCUUGGAGUCCGGGAGAGGUGAGUGGAACUGCGAGUGUAGAGGUGAAAUUCGUAGAUAUUCGCAAGAACACCAGUGGCGAAGGCGGCUCACUGGCCCGGUACUGACGCUGAGGUGCGAAAGCGUGGGGAGCAAACAG
RNAcentral lists this ribosomal RNA (404 nucleotides) under uncultured bacterium. Its description in RNAcentral is "bacterial SSU rRNA". It matches the Rfam family "Bacterial small subunit ribosomal RNA", at positions 355 to 775 of the family's 1533-position model. The record is from RNAcentral.